This 377-nucleotide ribosomal RNA is filed under the name uncultured eukaryote. RNAcentral's name for it is "partial 18S ribosomal RNA". It matches the Rfam family "Eukaryotic small subunit ribosomal RNA", at positions 592 to 976 of the family's 1831-position model. The record is from RNAcentral.
CAAUAGCGUAUAUUAAAGUUGUUGCAGUUAAAAAGCUCGUAGUUGGAUUUCGGGGCAGCCUGGCUGGUCCGCCGCAAGGCGAGUACUGGUCAGCCGCCCUUCCUCUCGAAAGCCCCGACUGCUCUUCGUUGCAGUGGUCGGGUAGUUCGGGACGUUUACUUUGAAAAAAUUAGAGUGUUCAAGGCAGGCCUACGCCUGAAUACAUUAGCAUGGAAUAAUGGAAGAGGACCUCGGUCCUAUUUUGUUGGUUUCUAGGGCCGAAGUAAUGAUUAAGAGGGACAGUUGGGGGCAUUCGUAUUUAAUUGUCAGAGGUGAAAUUCUCGGAUUUAUGAAAGACGAACAACUGCGAAAGCAUUUGCCAAGGAUGUUUUCAUUAA